This is a non-coding RNA of Arachis ipaensis, 102 nucleotides long. Lineage: Eukaryota; Viridiplantae; Streptophyta; Magnoliopsida; Fabales; Fabaceae. The record is from RefSeq and is a predicted model, not a curated record.
AAAGAACAUGCAGUAGUCGAUGGAUCCACCAGCUGAAGGUGGCAAUCCGUAGAGUCGCCAUACCCCCUUUCUCAUCUUAGAAUACACCGAAGACGGUGCAAA